Molecule: ribosomal RNA, 320 nt
Filed under: uncultured eukaryote
Lineage: Eukaryota
Description: partial 18S ribosomal RNA
Rfam family: Eukaryotic small subunit ribosomal RNA
Source: RNAcentral
CCCUUAGAUGUUCUGGGCUGCACGCGUGCUACAAUGGCGCUUGCAACAAGAUUGCCAACCCGAAAGGGUGAGCGGAUCUUUGAAGUGGCGUCGUGAUCGGGACAGUUGAUUGCAAUUAUUCGACUCGAGCGAGGAAUUCCUUGUAAUCGCGAUUCAUCAUAUCGCGCUGAAUACGUCCCUGCCCUUUGUACACACCGCCCGUCGCUCCUACCGAUUGAGCGAUCCGGUGAAUGUUUUGGACUGGUGUCCGCAAGCGUUUCGCUUCGGACGCUACGAAAUUUUGUAAACCUUAUCGCUUAGAGGAAGGAAAAGUCGUAACA